UUUCUCCUUCAAGCACCACUCCUUGGAGCUGAAUUCAGACCCCAUGGUUCAGACUCCAAAUGGUACAUACAUUUAGCCUGUGUUUUGGGGGGUGGCUCCAUGCCUUCUAGCUUUCUGUAACUAAAGGAGCAUUGAAUUAUUUCUACUCUUAGCCUUGUGGGAAAUGGCUUUUAUGUUUGCCAGGGUUGAGAAGACUUUUCCCUCUAUGUAACUUCAUCACUUCCAUGCUCCUGAGAUGCUGCUACUGUGUAACAUACCAUGUGGUGACAGUAGUGUAGGACGGAUUCUGAAUGUUCAUCCUUCCCCAUGGCAGAUAAAAAGAGAGGAGUCUGUCCAAGACGGCUUAAGCAGUCUAAAAGGCAAGUGGAAACAAAAGAUAUUUAUAAAUCCAUCAGAGUAUUGUGAACGCAGUGACAGCCUGUGCAGGGGGAGUGUUGGUAAGAAAGCCCUCUCCUGGAAAACUUCAUGCCCACCAGUCCCUGCCUAGGACAUUCAAGAUAGAACUCGGCCACAGCUGCUGCAGAUGGCUGGCUGGGGUUGAGUGGGGUUGUCUGCCUGUUGCACUGGCAUUCUGAAUCCUCUGGGGUUUUUUGGAACAUCUGGGAGCGAAGGAAAAGAGAAGAAGGGGUGCAUGGAUGAUCAUCUGAAUACACUUAUUCCUCUGAAAUUCUUGCUCAAAACGUGCUUCUAUUGUGAUUAUAACCUGGCAUUAAUUCAGUGCUAAAGGCCAGGCUGUUCACUGGAGAUCACUAAUGCUUAUUUAACUUUAAUUUGGGGUCACUGUGCUACAUGCUAGUUAACUUCAUAUUUGUGGACUUUUCUUUUCCUGAUCCCAACUCCCUUCCCUCUUACUUCUUGGAAUGGCCCCUGCCAUUUCCAGGCAGUCUGCCUGCUGGUAUAUUGCCUAACACUGAUGUAUUGCUCUUAGCAGAAUUCAAGAGCUCCUGCUGCUGAAGGAAUACCAAAGGACAAAUCACAGCUGGCAUGCACCCACAGGCAAACCCAAGCACGAGGCACCUGCCAAGUUUCUUCCAACGCCGCCAAAGGGCCCUAUACAGGCCUUUUCUUUCUGAAACACACCAAUGAGUUCAGCUGCCUCCUCUUCGUCCCGGACGUGAUAUGGUGCCUGGAAGCCGCUCUGCCUUGAGAAGAAGGCUGGGAACUCCCUUGAUUCUCCAAAAGCAGCCACACAGACUCCCUGUGUCUCCUGCAGCAGUGGAGGGGGUUUGGCUCGACCAAGAAAACCGAUACUGAUACACCAGUUAUAUGCCUCUUAUUACAACUUUGUUGAAUAAGGAACAUCAAAAUCCACCACCUCAGAUUCUGAGGAUAGGCCAUGCCAU
This is a long non-coding RNA of Strigops habroptila (Kakapo), 1343 nucleotides long. RefSeq lists it as uncharacterized. The record is from RefSeq and is a predicted model, not a curated record. Lineage: Eukaryota; Metazoa; Chordata; Aves; Psittaciformes; Psittacidae. The transcript is spliced from 3 exons.